Molecule: RNase P RNA, 350 nt
Filed under: Marinobacter sp. es.042
Lineage: Bacteria; Pseudomonadati; Pseudomonadota; Gammaproteobacteria; Pseudomonadales; Marinobacteraceae
Description: Bacterial RNase P class A
Rfam family: Bacterial RNase P class A
About the family: Ribonuclease P (RNase P) is a ubiquitous endoribonuclease, found in archaea, bacteria and eukarya as well as chloroplasts and mitochondria. Its best characterised activity is the generation of mature 5'-ends of tRNAs by cleaving the 5'-leader elements of precursor-tRNAs. Cellular RNase Ps are ribonucleoproteins.
Source: RNAcentral
CGAGCUCGCCAGACAGUCGCCGCCGGUUUUCCGGGGGAGGAAAGUCCGGGCUCCACAGGGCAAGGUGCCAGGUAACGCCUGGGCGGCGCGAGCCGACGGAAAGUGCAACAGAAAGUAUACCGCCUAAGCGCCCUCGGGCGCCGGUAAGGGUGAAACGGUGCGGUAAGAGCGCACCGCGUGGCUGGCAACAGUCCACGGCGAUGGUAAACCCCACCUGGAGCAAGACCAAAUAGGAAUCCAAUGGCGUGGCCCGCGCUGGAUUCGGGUAGGUUGCUUGAGGCCUGUGGUGACGCAGGCCCUAGAUGAAUGACUGUCCACGACAGAACCCGGCUUAUCGGCGAGCUCGCUUU